GUGUCAGCCGCCGCGGUAAUACGGAGGGUGCAAGCGUUAUCCGGAUUUACUGGGUUUAAAGGGUGCGUAGGCGGGCUUUUAAGUCAGCGGUGAAAGCUUCGAGCUUAACUCGGAAAUUGCCGUUGAUACUAUUAGUCUUGAAUUAAGUUGAGGUGGGCGGAAUGUGUCAUGUAGCGGUGAAAUGCUUAGAUAUGACACAGAACACCGAUUGCGAAGGCAGCUCGCUAAACUUAUAUUGACGCUGAGGCACGAAAGCGUGGGGAUCAAACAGGAUUAGAUACCCUUGUAGUCC
Molecule: ribosomal RNA, 292 nt
Filed under: uncultured bacterium
Lineage: Bacteria
Description: partial 16S ribosomal RNA
Rfam family: Bacterial small subunit ribosomal RNA
Source: RNAcentral